RNAcentral lists this ribosomal RNA (781 nucleotides) under uncultured bacterium. RNAcentral's name for it is "bacterial SSU rRNA". It matches the Rfam family "Bacterial small subunit ribosomal RNA", at positions 8 to 796 of the family's 1533-position model. The record is from RNAcentral.
AGAGUUUGAUCAUGGCUCAGAAUCAACGCUGGCGGCGUGCCUAACACAUGCAAGUCGAGCGAGAAAGUGUAGCAAUACAUUAGUACAGCGGCGCACGGGUGAGUAACACGUGGAUAACCUGCCUCGAAGUGGGGAAUAACACCGGGAAACCGGUGCUAAUACCGCAUACUCUGACGAGAUCUGUGGAUUUUGUCAGCAAAGGAGCAAUUCGCUUUGAGAGGGGUCCGCGGCUGAUUAGCUAGUUGGUGAGGUAAUGGCUCACCAAGGCCACGAUCAGUAGCCGGUCUGAGAGGACGGUCGGCCACACUGGAACUGAGACACGGUCCAGACUCCUACGGGAGGCAGCAGUGGGGAAUUUUUCGCAAUGGGGGCAACCCUGACGAAGCAACGCCGCGUGGGUGAUGAAGUAUUUCGGUACGUAAAACCCUUUCGACGGGGACGAAACCGCAAGGUUGACGGUACCCGUAGAAGAAGCCCCCGGCUAACUCCGUGCCAGCAGCCGCGGUAAUACGGGGGGGGCAAGCGUUGUUCGGAAUUACUGGGCGUAAAGGGCGCGUAGGCGGUUUGCUAAGUUGGAUGUGAAAACUCUGGGCUUAACCCAGAGCCUGCAUCCAAAACUGGCUAACUUGAGUACUGGAGGGGAAAGCGGAAUUCCUGGUGUAGCGGUGAAAUGCGUAGAUAUCAGGAGGAACACCGGUGGCGAAGGCGGCUUUCUGGACAGUAACUGACGCUGAGGCGCGAAAGCUAGGGGAGCAAACAGGAUUAGAUACCCCAGUAGUCC